CACACCUUCCGUUCUACAAAGGGACAUUUUAUUCUAUAAGUUAGAAGUACUCCCUAUAUCUUUCUGACAUGCUCUGUUAUUAACCAAUGUCUUGUUUCUGUAGAUGGGCACUUUAAAAAAAAAAAGCAACCCUUUUGUGAAAGGCUGAAUUAGCUGCAUAUAGAAUUUGGCUAAUUGCAAUUGCUCACAAGUGGUAUUUUCUGUUAAAGCAAAGUAUCCUGCUAGAACGUUAAAUCGCAUGGCAGGAGCAGAUAUAAAUGAGGACACUGAUUUAUCAAUGGGAGCUCUCUCAGUGUGUCUGGUCUAUCGGGAGAAAUGAAGCCAUCCCUGUUUCCUCCUCUAGAUUAUAAUUAGAAGCUGAGUCUUUGCACAGCAUUUUUAAGUUACUCUUAAUUUUCAGCUUCUCAUUAAAAAUGUAUAUUUGUUGUCUGGGAAGAUUUAUUAAUAGUUCUGCAAAUUCUCUGCAGCUCGUUGGGAACAGAUUGUGUAUUUAAAUCGGCUUUUCAGGCACUCGAGAGCAAGCGCCACCCUCCUCGGUGCUAUGCACGCGGAGAAUACUAACCAGGAGGCUUCGUGCAGCACCGGUUCCUCCCGUUCUUUGCCAGCACCUCAGCACCUUCAUUUCAGCAGCGGCACUUCUGCGUCUACCUGACCAAGUCAGGGUCUAAGGCUUCUAGAAGUCCAGGAAGUGCUGGCUUGGGUGGAGCCUGUGGUCACACGCGCUUCUCCCUUCUGUCCACAGGAUGGCAGCAUCGAGUCAAGGCUCCAGCCUGAUGGGGCCGGCUCUGGGAACUGCAAAGACCAGGUUUCUUCCUGAGAAAGAAUGGUUUUAGUCUUCUCCUCCAAGGCAACCCUCCUAAAGCCGUGCAGAGUGUGGUCCGCCCACCCCACCUUCGCUGCACCUGGUGGACAAUGACAACACUGUGGUGUAUUAGAUGAUGUUUUGUUUUGAGACUAUGAGCAUGCGUCUUGGGUCGGCUUUCAAGGGGCUGACUUAAUAAGAAAACCUCGGUUCAGAAGCAUAAAUCCUUGAGGCUGGGGAUGUAGUCUAAUGGAAGAGCACUCACUUAGACAAACUGUCUAACAGACCCCAGGAGGUGGUAGGCUGUAAUGCACGCCUCGUUGUCUGACUCCCAAGCCCUUCCUCCAUCCACUGCACUUGUACUUUGGGGGUCCCUCUGAGUGUCAUGGCUUCCAAACACAGGAAACUGGGACCCAUACCAGUGUAACAGUGUGAGACUUGAAGAGUCUAUGAGAAGUUGCUGAGCUGGCAUGCGCAGACGUGCUCCUGUGCGCAGGACAUGGCUCUUUGUACCAUUUACUGACACGUCUGUCUUUGGAAAUGAAAUAUUGGUACUAUUAGGUAUUUCAACCCCAAACUCCAACCUUGAAUCCGGAAGAUGGUGCGAAAAUGAGGCAGAAGUAAUAAGUAAUUACAGAAUCUGUGAGCUUGCCCACGGAGAAGACACAGUUUGUCUACGGAAAUAAGCAAAUCAAAAUUGGGUGCUCUUUCCCUAGCGGUGAAUUGACAUAAUGAUGAUUCAUCCAUGGAGCCCUGUGUGUCACCUGGGCUGGACUGAGCAGAGACUCUGUUCUGUGUUUACUAUCCAGGUAAUGCUUUCCUCCCCCAAUUCCCCAACUCUAGAUCAAGAAUUAAACCUGAACUCUCAGAGGCAAUAUUUGGAAUAAAUAUCUGUAAAGAAGGGGGAGAAGACAUAGAAGAAAGAAUGGAGGAAGACUUAGAAAGAGGGAGGGAGGAGAGGGGAACUGUUUCCCUCUUUUUAAGUCUUCCCUCCAUUUAGUAGGUUUUGGCUUGCUCCGGUUCCUUUUUUGCAAUCAUCCCACUGACUGGUACAUCUCCAAAACCAAAUUGGAUUUAUUUAUUUAUUUAUUUAUUGGUUUUUCAAGACAGGGUUUCUCUGUGUAUCUUCACGCCUUUCCUGGAACUCACUCUGUACCCGAGGCUGGCCUCGAACUCACAGAGAUCUGCCUGCCUCUGCCUCCUGAGUGCUGGGAUUAAAGGUGUGUGCCACCAUCGCCCUCCAAAUUGGUUAUUUUAAGCUGUGUGUCCUGAACUUCCAGAGCCAUGGCCCAGACCCAAGUGUUCCAAAACGCUUCUGGAACCUUCCUCCUUGAGAGCCAUCGUAGCUAGACCAGGCACUUGUCUCAUAGCAAAGGGUUUAUUCCGGCUCGUGGUUCCCGGAGAUAUAGUCCACCAUGACGAAGACUAUGGUAAAAGGAGCAGGGGGUGGCUGGUCGCCUCGCCUUCAUAGCCGGGGAGUAUGAGCCAGGAAGAGCCAGGCACCCUUGUUUGAGCAGGUAACAGCACAGUACAUCAUGGGGAGCGGGGAGGCAGGGAGGCCUGUUCACCUCAGGGCGAGCUUGUUCAUCCUUGCUCAGGGCGAGCAUGCUCAACUCGCUUUCUCCUUAUUUGGGACCCCAGCCCAUGAAAUGAUGCCACCCACAUUUAAGGUGGGACUCCUCACCUCACUUAACCGAAUCUAAAGAAUUCCUCACAGACACGCCCAGAGGUGUGUUUCCAUGGUGAUUCUAAGUCCGGUCGAGUGGACAAGACUGACUAGGACAAUGGCUAAACAUCUGGAGGAAGAGAAGCGUCUACCUGGCAGGGAGUGAGAACAGGGUGGGAGGAGGCCGUGCUCCUCAGAGCCUAGACUUGAGGGGCGUGCCCUCCUCACCCAGCCUGCCUCCCUGCUCCAGCUCACAGGAAGGCAGAGGCCAAAGCCUGGGCUUUCUAGCCCCUUUGCCCUCACACGGUGUACUUGCUGCGCCAUAGGGGCCAGAGCUUGCAGCGGGGGAAGAGGGUAGGAUUUCUGAGGAAAAAACGUGACAGAGAAGGACCAGAAACUGAAGAGACUGCAGCAGGUGUGUGGUUGGGUUUGCUUUACAGCAACAGAACACCCGAGGUAACGUAGAACAAGCGAGGGCUUACGUUGGCUCCGGAUGCUCCACUUUGGGUUGCUUGGUCCUGCUGCUCCUGGUCUGUGGUGUGGGGAAGAUGGAAUGCCUGCUCACCUCAGGGGAGCCAGAAACAAAGACAGACAGGUAGGGCUGGGGUCCCAGCGUCCCUUUUGAUGACGUGCCGAUGGCUUUAUUUUCUCCUACUAGGUCACACAUCCUGAAGGUCCCACUGCCUCUCAUCAGUGCCACAGUUGCGGAAGGGUCUUCAUCUUUGGGGGACGUUCCAGAUCUUCUAGACCCAAAGUAGGACACUACCAGACAAAGCAAAACUAACACUUGGAAGUGUGGCCUGCUGGUCUGGAGGCUGGGACAGUGGCCUUGACCCCCGCUUUGUCCUUCUUUGCUGGGGACUCAGCUCACACCAGGUCCCCAGAGCAGCACACACUGGGGCUGCUUGGGACAAGGCCAUUCAGUUCCAGCCCAGGGAUGGCCACACCGCUGUUCUCCCAUCCAGAGGAUCUGACACUCCCACUCCCCACCCCCAGAGAAUGUGUCCCCUUCUUUAAUUCCAUUCUGCUGAUGUUGGUGCUCAGCCUCACUAUUCACCCACCGGCUUCCUCCAGUGACAUAAGCAUCCAAACACCCCUCAAAGGUAGACUCCAUGGUGGACAGAGUAUGGCCCUUGAUUAAGUGGAAAGCAUCGGACAGGAGCCCCAGUGUUCAGUAAAGAGGGAACCCGAAAUAAAGACGUCAAUAGUGAAACUUUCUCGACUGGUCUCUCUGCUGACCGUCUGCUCUGGACUGAGUGUCUCCUAGAACUCACAUGCUGAUGCUCUAAUCCUGUUUGAUGGUGUCUGGAGACUGGCCUUGGGUAGAGAAUUAGGUCAUGAGGAUGAAGCCCUGUGAAUAGAUGAGUGACCUUAUAAAAAGAAACAGCAUCUCUCAGUCUGCCUCCUCUCUUGAAAAAUUAUUUCUAUUUGUUAAUGCAAAUGGAUGUUUUCCUGUGAACUGCGCACAUGUCUGGAGCACACGGAGGACGGAAGAGGCCAUCGGAUCCCCUUUGAACUAGAGUUCCAGACGACUGUGAACUGACAUGUGAGGAGACUGAGUUCGGAGAUGAUGCCAGCCGUUGCCUACCCAUAUGUCGGAUCCCGCAGACGCCCACCGUUCUUGAUUCAGUACACUCUCAGCAGUGUGUCCCUUCCUCGACGGCACCUUCUCCUGAGUUCCCUGUUCGCAGCUUCCAGGACCUUGACAAAUGCUCAAGGUCAAAGUUCCCAGGGAUAAAUCCCAGUGUUUACCUCAA
Peromyscus californicus insignis is the source of this 4225-nucleotide long non-coding RNA. RefSeq lists it as uncharacterized. The transcript is spliced from 3 exons. Lineage: Eukaryota; Metazoa; Chordata; Mammalia; Rodentia; Cricetidae. The record is from RefSeq and is a predicted model, not a curated record.